This 270-nucleotide ribosomal RNA is filed under the name uncultured prokaryote. RNAcentral's name for it is "partial 16S ribosomal RNA". It matches the Rfam family "Bacterial small subunit ribosomal RNA", at positions 524 to 794 of the family's 1533-position model. The record is from RNAcentral.
UACGUAGGGGCGAGCGUUGUCCGGAAUUACUGGGCGUAAAGGGUGCGUAGGCGGCCCUUUAAGUCAGAUGUGAAAGCCCGCAGCUUAACUGCGGAAUUGCAUUUGAAACUGGAGGGCUUGAGUGUCGGAGAGGGUAGUGGAAUUCCCAGUGUAGCGGUGAAAUGCGUAGAUAUUGGGAGGAACACCAGUGGCGAAGGCGACUGCCUGGACGAUAACUGACGCUGAGGCACGAAAGCUAGGGGAGCAAACAGGAUUAGAUACCCUGGUAGU